Gymnogyps californianus (California condor) is the source of this 541-nucleotide long non-coding RNA. RefSeq lists it as uncharacterized. NCBI's taxonomy places the organism in Eukaryota, Metazoa, Chordata, Aves, Accipitriformes, Cathartidae. The transcript has 3 exons. The record is from RefSeq and is a predicted model, not a curated record.
CAAUAGGCCUCUGGACCCUUGGAGAGCCACUCACUUCAGCAACAUUUAUAGCUGAACACACAAGCUCUGUGUGGAGAGACUACAUCCUUACUGAUGGUGCAAAGUACCACCUCCUCUGUGCUGCUGUGCGACAGAGGUCGUGGUGACAGCUUUACAUUCAUUUCUCUCUUCCUGUGGAGAAGGAAGCUUCUAUGGGGAGUAUGUACCUAGGAGUAUAGUUACGGUGGUUUUCUCUUAACAGGAGAAGCCCCAUGGUCUCUGUUAAGGAAGCAGGGAAAGCAACUCAGUUGCUAAUGCACUGAUUUUAAGAGUGUCUAGAUGAGUUGUGAAUGUGGCUUAGGUUCACUAAACAUUUUUUAAAAGACUUGCAAAGUCAAGUUCUGACAGUAAUGUAUUGGGGAACUCCAGUGCUGGUGUUAAUGUUGAUGUAAUUGUAUUAAGCAACAGAACAAAGCAUCCUGAAUGCAUAUAUGAUACAUGACUGUAUAGAAGUCACAAAUUAGUAUGUGAGUCCAAAGGUUGGUUUAAUAAAGUUGGUGUU